This is a long non-coding RNA of Hydra vulgaris (swiftwater hydra), 182 nucleotides long. RefSeq lists it as uncharacterized. Lineage: Eukaryota; Metazoa; Cnidaria; Hydrozoa; Anthoathecata; Hydridae. The record is from RefSeq and is a predicted model, not a curated record.
AUGAAGUAACAACAUUAAACAACACUGACAAGAACUGCUGCAUCACGACAGCAACUGCAGUAUCACAACAGGUUACCAAAAGCAGGUUUGUCAUAUAACGCAUUGAUGCAAUAUGAAAGAUCAAAGUUUACAUAUUUUUCCUUAUUUGUGAUAGGAUGUUUGAUUGUAUUUUUUUCGUAUUA